UUGAGGAGAGGCGCUUUCAAGACGAUGCUGCACAUCCAAUGAAGAGAGGCUAUCUUCUAGCAACACCUUAGUAACUUGGGAUUCUGCCUCCAUCCCUAAUAGAGUUUUAGAUGAAAAACGAUCUUGCGAAUGUAACUUAUAAUCAAAUAACUUUGCUUCCUUUAAUUUUCUGCAAGGUUGAGAUGACCUCAUCAGACCUCCAGUGAUGGAUCCUUCAAUCCUCAUACACUU
Molecule: long non-coding RNA, 231 nt
Filed under: Phoenix dactylifera (date palm)
Lineage: Eukaryota; Viridiplantae; Streptophyta; Magnoliopsida; Arecales; Arecaceae
Description: long non-coding RNA (PDAC_LNC001959)
Source: RNAcentral